This 16438-nucleotide long non-coding RNA is filed under the name Homo sapiens (human). RNAcentral describes it as "non-protein coding lnc-MFSD8-6:7". The record is from RNAcentral. Lineage: Eukaryota; Metazoa; Chordata; Mammalia; Primates; Hominidae.
AGUGUUUAAUGGCAGGUUGAGUGGUGUAAACUGGCAGAAAAUGAGCUGUGAUAUUUCUACUUUAAGAUGAGAAUGAGAAACAACUUAUCUUGAUAAAAGCGUAGAAAUUGGUUUCUUCAGGAAGCCUUCCCUGCUUCUCUAGUUUGAGAGACAGAAUUUCUCCAUGUUGCCCAGGCUGAUCUCGAACUCCUGGAUCAAAUGGUUCACCCACCUCAACCUCUCAAAGUGCUGGAAAUACAAGUGGAUUACAACAUGAUAAAGAGGAGAAAAAAGAUACCAGAAUGAUGCUUCCUGCCCUUUAACAUCGGACUCCGAGUUCUUCAGCUUUUGGAUUCUGGAUCUAUACCAAUGGUUUGCCAGGGUCUCUUGGACCUUUGGCCACACACUGAAGGCUGCACUAUUGGCUUCCCUACUUUUGAGGUUUUGGGACUCAGACUGGCUUCCUUGUUCUCCUCAGCUUGUAGAUGGCCUAUUGUGUGACUUCACCUUGUGAUCAUAGCUUACAAAAAGCUUGAUUGAAAAGAGAAGAGAAUGGAACACGGUAUGAUGACAACAAAGAGAAAAGGAGCCAAGAUUAGUCUGGACAGUAUGCAGACAUUGACUCUGCUUUGAGGACAGAGCUGGAAUUAAUUUCACGUGCACCACAUAAGGAUUGCAUCCAACAUCACUCUUCCUGUAUUCUUUGGAGGAGCUUCCGCCUAUUGCCUCUGCCCUCCCUGCACCGUGGGACACAUGAAGUAGUCUUAGUUCCAGCAGAUGGUAACAUCAGCUUCCUGGCCAACCUGGCAUUUCCCCAGGGAAGAAGGGAAGACGGAAUAAGCCCUGGCUUUGUUGCAAUAGUGCGUUCUCCUGAGAUUUGCUUGUUUACAAGUGUGUGGCACCUCCCCGCCUCCUUCCUCCUACUCCAGCCAUGUGAAGUGCCUCGCUUCUGCUUUGCCUUCUACCAUGAUCGAAAGCUUCCUAAGGCCUCCCUCCAGAAGCACAAGCCGCUACACUUCCUGUACAGCCUGCAGAACUGUGAGACAAUUAAACCCCUUUUGUUUUCUUUAUAAAUUGCCCAGUCUCAGGUAUUUCUUUAUAGCAGUGCGAGAAUGGACUAAUAAUACAACCUGAUUUUCAAACUUUAUUAUGUUCUUUUUUGAGACGUAAUUCACAUAUCAUAAAAUUCACCACUUUAUAGGAUAAAAUUCAGUAGUUUUAAUUAUAUUAACAAAAUUGUGCAAUCGUCACCACUACCUAAUUCCAGAGUAUUUUCACCAGGCCAAACAGAACCCACUUACCCAUUAGCAGCCAUUUCCUUUCUCUCCCUCCCCACUUCAAACUCUGGUAAACACUGAUGUACUUUUUAUCUCUAUUGAUUUGUCUGUUUUGUAUGUUUCAUAUAAAGUGAAUUGUACCAUAUGCGGUCUUUUGUGUCUGGCUUCUUUAACUUGGCAUAAUGUAUUCAAUGUUCAUCUAUAUUUUGAUAUGUAUCAGCAUUUUGUUCCUUUGUUGUUGAAUAAUAUUCCAUUGUAUAGAUAUGCUGCAUUUUGUUUAGUCAUUCAUGAAUGGAUGGGCAUUUUGGUUGCUUACACUUCUUGGCUAUUUUGAGUAAUGCUUCAAUGUACAUUCAGGUACAACUUUUUGUAUAGAUGUAUGUUUACAUUUCUCAUAGGUGUAUAGCUAGGAGUGAAAUUUCUGGGUCAUAUGGUAACUCUUUAACUUUUUGUUUUUGAGAAACUGCCAAACUAUUUUUUAAAGUAGAUACACAAUUUUACAUUUCCACAGUAAUGCACGUGUUCAAUUUAUCCCCAUUAGUGCCAACACUUAAUUAUUAGUCUCUUUGAUGUACAGUUAUCCUUUUAUUUAUUAUAUGAAGAAGAUAAUGGUAUCUUAUUGUGAUUUUGAUGUGCCUUUCCCUAAUGACUAACGACGUCAAACAUCUUUUCAUGUGCUCAUUGGGUAUUUGUACAUCUUCUUUGGAGAAAUGUCUAUUCACAUUUUUUAAUUGGGUUAUUUAUAGUUGAGAUGUUAGGGUUCUUUUUAUAUUCUGAAUACUAGCUUCUUAUCAGAUAUAUGUUUUGCAAAUAUUCCUACACAUUCAGUGAGUUGGCUUUUCACUUUCUUCAUACUGUCCUUUGAAGCACAAACAUUUUAAAAAUUUUGAUGAAGUCAAAUUUAUCAAAUUUUCCUUUGUUGCUGGGGCUUUGGUGUCAUGUCUUAGAAACUAUUGCCUAACCCAUGAUGUGAAGGUUUACACAUAUGUACUUUUCCAAGAGUUUUAUAAAUUUAGCUCUUACAUAUAGACCUUUAGUACAUUUUGAAUUAAUUUUCAUGUGUGAUAUGAGCUAAGGCCCAACUUCAUUCUUUUACGUGUGGAUAUCGUGUUUUCUCUGCAUCAUUUUGUUGAAAAUAAAAUUUUUUCCCCAUUGAAUUAUUUGGCACCACUGCUGAAGAUUAUUUGACUAUAAAUGUGAGGGUUUAUUCCUGAAGUCUUAAUUCUAUUGAUCUAUUUGUCUAUCCUUAUGUUAGUACCACGAUGUCCUUAACACUGCAGUUUUGCAGUCAGGAUGUGUGAGUCCUCCCAUUUUGUUCUUUUUUUCCACAUUUUUGGUUAUUUUGAGCUCCUUAAAUUUCCACCUGAAUUUCACAAUCAGUUUGUAAAUUCUUCAAAGAAGCCAGCUGGAAUUUUGAUACUAAUUGCUUUGAAUGUAUACGUCAAGUUGAGGAGUACUGGCACUUUAAAAAUAUUAAAUUUUUCCAUUAAUAAACAUGAGGUAGCUUUCCAUCAUUUCAGGCCUUUAAUUUCUUUCAACAAUGUUCUGUAGCUGCUCCUAGGAGUUUUAUCAUUUUUGAUGUUAUCAUAAGUGAAAUUGUUUUCUUACUUUUAUUUUCAAGUUGAUCAUUGCUGGAAACACAAUUGAUUUUUGUAUUUUGAAUCUUGUACCCUGCAUCCUUGCUGUAUUUAUUAAAACUUUCUAUAUACAUAGUUUAUAUAUAUUAAGAUAAAUUUAUGUAUAUCUUUUGAGCAAUUUAAUAUUUAAUAACUGCAUUAGUCAGGUUUCUUCAGAGAAACAGAAUCAGUAGAAUUAUAUAGAAAAUAGAGAGAUAUUCAACAGAGAGACAUUUAUUUUAAGAAAUGGCUUAUGGAAUUGUGAAAGCUGGCAAGUUGGAAACCUAUAAUACGGCCAACAGACUUGAAACAGGCAGAUUUUAGGCUGUCAUCUGGAGGCAAAAAUUCUUGUCUAGGAAACCUCGACUUUGCUCCUAAGAUCUUCUACUGAUUGGAUAAGGCCCUCCCAUAUUGUCAGCCAUAAUCUUCUUUACUUAAAGUAAACGUAAACUGAUUUCUGGGGAAAAUGAUAUCUACAAAUACCUUCACUGCAAAUCUAGAUUAUGGUUUAAAUUGACACUUAAGACGAUCACAAUAGCCAAAAUCUUACUUCCUGCUGUGUGCAUUGUUAGCCACAUUAUUUCCGGAAUUUUCAGUGAAAUUUAAAACAUAUCAGGGCAAUACUCAAAAGAAACUAAAAAUUCUCUGAUAGUUUGAGAAAAAUCUACAGGUUUAAACAUUACUUUUUCUUUUUCUUUUUUAGCUACUCCUUGUAGAGCAAGGCUACCCCAUAGACGAUGUACUCAGAAUAACCUAAACACUACUUUUUCUUUCCUAGGGUAGAUUGAUUAAACACAUAAUCUCAAAAUUGCGCUUUGGGCACUGAAUAUUUUCUUAUUCAUCACGUGAUCACCAUGCAAAGAACAUUACUUAACUCUCUGGUAUGACAAGGGAGAGAGCCCUACCAAGAAUUUGUCUCUUCCCAUAUCAGAUUUAGUUGCAUUGUGUGUGUGUGUGUGUGUGUGUGUGUGUGUGUAUUACGUAUAACUAUGCCUGUAUUUAAACAAGGACAGUAGGAUGGGCCAUUCAUUCACUGAGUGGCAGUGGGGAAACCUUCAGAUCUAGACUUUGUCUAGAGUAUCCUUUCAGAACUAUUCCUACUGAUUUCUUUUUGUUUUGCUGGGAGUCGUUGGGUGGUCAUUAAACAGUAGGUGAAGGGUGAGUGAGUAAAGAAAGCAAUCCAUUCUGAUCUCCAUAACUGGCCAUUACCUCACCCCCUGCUGGGUCGGCAUCUCCAGGAGGGAUAAGAUGGGGCAGUUAUAAAAAAGGAACAGCUAUAGAAUAGCUUUAAAAUGUUUAUAGAACACCUAUAAAAUGACCCUCGAGGCUCAGUGUAAAGGCUGUUUUAUAGUUAGAGCAUAGAUUCCAGACUACUGGCAGGCCCCCUGCUCUGCAGAGAGGCCACCUUCACACUCUCUAAACCAAUUCAACCUAACCACUUGCUUCCACUGUUCUUUUUACCCUCUUACUAAAGGGGCCUAUAAAUUAGGCAACAAAACAAAACAAAAUAAAAACAAGUGCAUCACAUUUGACUUUGAAUUCUUUAAAUUACUUAAGUUGUUGGGUCAAAUCUGCUGAUAAACAUACUUGCACUUAUGUGGCUGAUCCAGAUGAAAUAUCAAGAUCUGUUUGGACUGAAUUGCUAUCAGUCAUUAUGAAGCUAUGAUGGCUGGGACAAUUUUUUGAUCCUGGCAACUUGGUUUUGGUGGUUUGUACAGUGAACAGUGAGACAAUCCUCUCCUCUAAAUAAUAAGUUUUAUUUUAACUUAUAAUUCACUAAAUAAGUUUGUCUUCUGAGAGGCAUUAAGUAAACUAAGAAAUUACUAAAAAUAUAAGUGAAAAGAUUGGGUCUUUCCAAAGCUCUAAGUCAGGUAAAUGUAUAAUUUCUUUCUAUUAUUUGAUAUAUUUUAUAAAGAGGUUAGCAUGUGACAAAGAAAAUUUUGAGUAAUACUUCAACUAUAGUAUGUAAGAUAAGAUGAAUCAUUUCCCCCUACUCACUAAAUUGACUGCUUCAAGAACUACAAAAUUUGUAUCUGUUGUAUUUAGUUCCUCACUUUGGAAUAUUACUAGAAAUUAUCUUGCUUUUGUAGCUUGAGAUAAUUUUUAUUAUUUUUUUAAUAAGUGUGAGAAAAUUAAACAUUUUCUUUUUAAUUAUAUUUCAGUCUGUCUUUUAAUAUUGUGUUUUGAUGAAAAUAAUUGAUGAAUCAUGAGAUAUUAGAAUACCAAUGUCUGGGAUUAAUAACUGGAAUAUCUAAGGAGCUCAAACAACUCAAUAGGAAAAAAAAGAUCUAAUAAUCAGAUUUAAAAAUGGGCAGAAGAUCUGGAAAGACAUUUCUCAAAAGAAGACAUUCAAAUGGUAAACAGACAUAUGAAAAGGUGCUCAACAUCAUUGAUCCUCAGAGAAAUGCAAAUCAAAACUACAAUGAGAUAUCUCAUCCCAUUAAAAAUGGCUUUUAUCCAAAUAGAGCCAAUAAUAAAUGCUGGUAAGAAUGUGGAGAAAAAGGAACCCUCAUACACUGUUGGUGGGAAUGUAAAUUAGUGCAACCACUAUGGAGAACAGUUUGGAGGUUCCUCAAAAAACUAAACAUAGAGCUACCAUAUUAUCCAACAAUCCCACUGCUGGGUAUAUACCCAAAAGAAAGGAAAUCAAUAUAUCAAAGAGAUAUCUGCAUUCCCAUGUUUGUUACAGCUCUGUUCACAGUAGACAAGAUUUGAAACAACCUAAGUGUCCAUCAGCAGACGAAUAGAUAAAGAAAAUGUGGUACUUAUACACAAUGGAGUACUAUACAACCAUUAAAAAAAUGAAAUCCUAUCAUUUGCAACAACAUGGAUGAAAUUGGAGGUCAUUAUGUUAAGUGAAAUAAGCCAGACACAGAAAGAAAAGCAUUGUAGGUUUUCACUUAUUUAUGGGAUAUAGAAAUCAAAAUAAUUGAUUCUAUGGAGAUAGAGAGUAGAAGGAUGGUUACCAGAGGCUGGGAAGGGUAAUCGGAGGAUUGGGGGUAGGUGGGGAUGUCUGUCUAAUGGGUAGAAAAAAAUAGUUAAAAUGAAUGAACAAGGCAUAGUAUUUAAUAGUACAACAAGGUGACUACAGUCAAUAAUAAUUUAUUAUGCAUUUUAAAAUAACUAAAAGAGUAUAAUUGCAUUGUUCAUAACACAAAAGAUAAAUGCUUGAAAAGAUGAAUAUUCCAUCUUCUAUGAUGUGAUUAUUAUGUAUUGCAUGCCUGUAUCAAAACAGCUCAUGUAUCCAAUAAACAUACACACCUACUAUAUACCUCAUAUAAUUAAAAAAAAAUUCAACACCUUCUAUGUGACAGCAAAAUAAAAAUAAUACCAACUUCAGCAGUUAUACUAGAACUUGAUGUCCCAACACAGCCUUCAGGUAAUUUGCAUCUUUCUCAAAAAGAUGAAGCAAAAAAUAGGCAGGAAGAGGCUUUUUAUAAAAUUAAUUCCUAAGCCAAAUGAUGUCUCAGGUUUUAUUUACUUAUUUAUUUUGCUUUCUAGAAUAUUAUUAAGUGUUAAAAUGAGUUCUUUGUUUUGUUGGUAUUCAAAUGUAUUCAUUUAUUCUAUAUCAUUGCUCUUCAUUGUUUCAGAUUUUGGUAGAUAGAUUUGGUGAGAUUCUUUAAUCAAAAUUUAGAAAUUUUUCUUGCUAUAAAUGUAGUUACAAUAAUACUAAAUAUCUAAUAUAUUACGUUAAGUCCUAGUUUUCUGCAGAUACUUAGUAAUGUUUUCUAUUUUUAAAAAAUCUCACAUCAAGACUGGGUUUAAAAAUAUUUUAUGUAAUAAAAAGGAAUUUUUAUAUAAAUCUUUUAGGUAUUAUUAAGGAAUCUUUUCUAUAGCAAUGUUUGCAGUUCCUCUUUCAACUUUAAUUUAUUUUAAAAUUUUAAAUUCAUGAUUAUUAAUGUUAUUUUUGAUUAACAAAUCAUAAUGGUAUAUAUUUAAGGGAUACAAUGUGAUGUUUUGAUAUAUGUAUACAAUGUGGAAUGUUUAAGUCAAGCUAACUAGCAUAUCCAUCAUUUCACUUAUUUACCAUUUUUUAUGUGAGGCCAUCAUUUAACUCUGUACAUUUGUGGGUUCAACUUUUUUAUAUUACACAUAUAAGUGAGAUCAUGUGGUAGUUGAACUUCUGUGCUUGCCUUAUUUCACUUAGCAUAAUGUCCUUCAGAUUUAUCCUUGUCAUGAAUGACAGAAUUUUCCCAAUAUUCUAUUGUGUAUAUAUACUACAUUUUCUUCAUCCAUUCAUCCAUUGUUGAACACUUAGGUUCAUUCUGUAUCUUGGCUAUUGUGUAUAAUGCUUCUAUGAACAUGAUAGUACAGAUAUCUCUUUGACAUAUUGAUUUCGCUUCCUUUGGAUAUACAUCCAGAGUGGUAUUACUGGAUCAUAUGGUAGUUCUAUUUUUAGUGUCCUGAGGAAACUUUAGGCUGUUUACUAUAAUGGUGCUAAUUUGCAUUUCUACCAACAAUGUAUAAGAGUUCUGCAUUAGGCCGUUCUUGCAUUGCUAUAAAGAAAUACCUGAGAUUGAGUAACUCAUAAGAAAAGAUUUUUAAUUGGAUCAUAGUUCUGCAACAGGAAGCAUAGCAGCAUCUGCUUCUGCAGAGGACUUGGGAAGCUUCCAAUCAUGUCAGAAGGCAAAGGGGUAGAAGGCAUAUCAUAUGGCAAGAGCAGAAGCAAGUGAGAUGGAAGGGGGAGAUGCCACACAGUUUUAAACAACCAGAUCUUGCAAGAACUCACUCACUAUUGCGAAAAGAGUACCAAGCUAUGUGAGAUCUGUCCCUGUCCCCAUGACCCAAACAUCUCCCACUAGUUCCCACUUCAGCUUUGGGGAUUGCAAUUCAACUUGUGAUUUGGACAAUGACAAAUAUCCAUAUUAUAUCAAGUUUCUUUUUCUCUGCAUCCUCACCAACACUUGUUAUUUUUCAUCUUUUUGAUAAGAGCCAUUGUAACAGAUGGGAGGUGUAUCUUACUGUACUUUUAAUUUUCAUUUCCCUAAUGGUUAGUGAUACUGAGCAUUUUUCACAUACAUAUAUGUCUUCUUUGAGAACUGUCUAUUCAGAUCUUUUGCCAAUGUUUUAAUUAGGUUGUUUGUUUUCUUGCAAUAGAGUUAAUCUUAUAUGUAAGAAACACCAUAAAAACUCCACUAGAAAACUGUUAGAACUGAUAAAUGAAGUCAGUAAAGUUGAAUUUUAUUGUGUAUUGAACAAUACACAAUCAACAUACAAAAAUUUGUAGCAUUUCUAUAUAUUAAUAAUGAAUUAUUCUUAAAAAAGAAAACAUUUACAUUUACAAUAGCAACAAAAAGUUAAAUAAGUGUAAAUUUAAUUUAAUCAAAGAGGUAAAAGACCUGUAUAGUAUGCCAUUGUUACCUGUAAAUUCUGAAUCCAUGGAUUCAACCGUAGAUCAAAAAUAUUUUUUUAAAAAAUUACCUCUGUAUUGAGCAUGUACAGGCUUUUUUUCUAAAAAAUAAUUUUCUAAUCAAUUAUUUCCUAAACAACACAGUUCUAACAAUUAUUUACGUAGUUUUUUUGUAUUAGGAUCAUAAGUAGUCUAGAGAUUAUUUAAAGCAUACAAGAGGAUGUGCAUAGUUUACAACAAAUAAUAUGCCAUUUUAUAUCAGGGACUUGAGCAUUCAUGGAUUUUGGUAUCUGUGGGAGGUCCUGGAACCAAUACCCCAAGAAUACCAAGGAAUGGCUAUAUACUGAAAACUAUAAAACACUGCUUAAAGAAAGGCAAGAAGACACAAAUAAAUAGAAAGAUAAACCAUGUUCAUGGACUGAAAUAAUUAAUAUUCAUAAAAUGUUAAUACUACCCAAUCUGCAAACUUAUUGUAAUCUCUUAUCAAAAUUCCCACUCUUACAGAAAUAGAAAAAUGUUCUUAAAUUCACAUAGAACCACAAGAGACUCUCAACAGCCAAAACAAUCUCAAGCAAAAAGAACAGAGCUGGAGGUGUCACAUUCCCUGAUUCCAAAACAUAUUAUAAAGUAAUUGUGAUCAAAACAGUAUGAUCCUGGCAUAAAAACAGACAGCUCAACCAAUAGAACAGGAUAGAGAACUCAGAAUUAAACCCGUGUUUAAUCAAUUGAUUUGUGACAAAAGUGCCAAAAACACAUGUAGAGAAAUGACAGUCUUGAAUAAAUAAUGUUAAAAAAAAACUGGGUAUUUACAUACAGAAGAAUGAAAGUGAACCAUUGCUUCACAUCUUAUACAAAAAUGAAUUCAAAAUAGAUUAAAAACGUAAACAUAGGACAUGAAACUCUAAAACUACUACAAGAAAACGUAUGGAAGAAGCUCUUGCCAUUGGUUUAGGCAUUGUUGCAAAAAUGACUAAAUGCUACUAAACAUUUCAUAGUUUUAAAUCUUAUGGCUAUAAAAAUGUUUUUCUUUUUUUAAUUUUAAAACAGUUAUUUUAUGUGGUGUCAUUUGUAUUUCUUUUUGUGAAUUUCUUAUUAAAACAUUCGCCACAUGUUUUAUUUUAUACCAACUAAUUAUUUUAGACUUUCUUAGAUUUUAAAGUUUUAAAUUAAUUUUUAUUUUAAAUAAGAGUCUCAGUCUUUACCUCCAUAUUUUCUGGGAUUCAAGUGCAAUCUAAGGCCUCCCAAAACUAGUUUUUUAGCUGAAAAAAAAUUGUUUUAGAUGUUUCACAAAUGUAAAGAUGUGAAUUAACUUAGACACGGGAAUGAAGAUUUUUCCCUAAUUUCACAGUUUAGGAAAUGUAUAUGAGUAAUAUGCUUCCUUGUUUUCUCUACAUAAUAAUAUAUUGCUAUUCUCUCCAGUGUGGCAUGAGGGAACUUGAGUAGUUUAUAAAUCUUUGUUUUAUAUCAUUUCCUAUCAUCAAAACUCUGUACACAUUGUAUCAUUUCUAAACCACUUGCGUACCACUUAGGAUUUGGCUUAUUCGGCUACUUUGGAAUUAGCUAGCUACUAUGGCAAGAAUUUAUGUUGAGAAAACUUGUGCUAUUCAUUGCUAUAUUUGUUUUCUAAAAAGUAUGAAAUUAUUUCUCAAUAGGUUAAUUUUAUCUACAAAAUUAAAACUAUACGUUUGUUUCUUGUCUCUGAACCUUCAUUCUGGAAAUCACUCUUCUGUGAACUAAGUGCAGAUCACAACGAUGACCCUACCAUCCUAUGCCCUCUCCAUCACACUUAGCACCAUAUCUGUAACAUAUUGCCAAAAUGGACCUUUAGGACAUUAAUCCUCAAUUAUCUAAACACCUGCCAUAUUUCCAAAUACAUACCACUCGUAAGGAUUUUUAGAAUAAAUCUAUGAAAAUAAUUCUAUAUUAAUUCAACAUAAUAUACACAAAUCUCAGAUAGUGAAACUCUCUGUUACUUCAUUGUAUACUCCUCCAGUUUGGAGCAUGUAGUAUUUUAGUGGGAGCUAUUUCUCAAAAACAGUGCUGUAUGUAUGUGGCUCUGAACCUCCUAGUCCCCAGAUAACAUUGUCUUUUCUACUUUAGUUAUUUUGUUUCAUUUGAUGUAUGUUAAGAGAUGUUCUCUAGAUGUUCACUAUGCUGGCCAAAUAAAUCUUUUUUUAAAAAAUGCACUUUUUGAAUAAAUUCUAAGCUGAAUAUGUGGUGUGAAGUUAAUGUGAGAGUACAUAAAAUAGACAGAAAAUUCCUAGACAGUAAUCUUUACUUUCCUAGUGUGAUUUACAAAAUUCCAUACAACAAAAUAAUUAACCUUAGAAAACCAUAUAACUUUAAAAAUAAUAUUUUAUUGAAGUACAGUAUUUUGUGGAAACAUUUUACUGAUGUUUUAGAAAAAGCAAUUUAGCAACUGGAGAAAUAGUAGGUUUACUUUGCCUGUUGGCACCCACACACGUCAUCUGGGGGCCUGAAGGGAGUUAUGCUCUGCUCACUGUGCCCAUGCAUAUUGCCUUGGAGCCUGGGGAUUCACUCUGCUCCACCAACCACCACUGGCUGACAUGCACACCACAAUUCAUGGGUCCGAGGAGAGGACUGUCCUACCCACCACUAGUGCCCAUGCAUAUCAUCUAGGGGCUCGGGAUCAACCUGCCUCACUGUGAGUGUCCACAUGUACCAUCAGAGGCCUGAGGAAAGACCUGCAUUGCCUUUCACUGCUGCCACAUGUGCAAGUCAUUGGGAGGCCUAGGGACUGACCUGCACUGCCUGCUACAGCCAAUACCUGUGCACCAACUGGGGGCCUGAGGACAGGCCUGAAACACUAUUCACCUCUACAGCAAGUGUCUGGGAGUAGGGUCCAAGUGUCUAUAGAUUGACCUGCCCUGACCACUGUAGGUGGUGCUUGUGCACAUACCAUUAGAAAGCCGAAGGACAGACCCAUCCUGCAUUUUGCUGCUGCUGCCACCACACGUGUGCAUUAUUUGAAGGCCUGGGGAUCAACACGCUCCGCCCACUGCUGCCAGUGCCCACAUCCACUAUCCAAGGGCCUUAGGCCUUCCCUGCUUACUGCCACUGCUGCCAGCACAUCAAUACACCAUCCAGGAGCAUGGGAUUAAAUGGCCUUAUCUUCCAUUUCCGACACUUAUGCACAUCAUCCAGGAAGCUUAGGUCUUCCCUACUUACUGCCACUACUGCCGGCACAUGAAUAUACCACCCAGGAACCUGGGGAUUACAUGGCCCCACCCUCCUUUUCCGACACUUAUGCACAUCAUCUAGGGGCCUAAGGACAGCCCUGCCCUGCCUACUACUGCCAUCACUGGUGCCUGAAUGCUGGCCUUCCUGGAGUCACUGUCUCCAGCAAAGCCUUACCACAGCCUCCACUAACAACCACUGUCUAAGUCACUGAGGAACUCACAGGAACCUCUGAUGCUGACUGCAGCCAAAAAAAAUCAUUUGGAGACUACACUACUAUGCCCAUCCAGAAUCAAAGCCAUGUGACCUUACUCAACCAACACUGUAGAUACACCUAUAGGAAAUAGUAUUUUCCUACAAAAACCAAUCCAUAAAAUAGAUAGAAGAGACUUACAACAAAUGCACAGAUAUAAACUUAAGAACACAAGAAACAUGAAAAAAAGCAAGGAAGCAUAACAUCUCCAAAGGAACAUAGUAAUUUUCUAGAAACAGAUUCCAAUGAAAAGAAAAUUUAUAAUAUGACUAAAAAAAUCAAAAUAAUAAUAUUAAAGCAACUCAGUGAGAUACAAGAGGGCACAGAUACAGUACAAAUAAAUCAGGAAAACAAUGAUCCAAAUGACAAAUUCAGCAAAGAGAUGGAUAUCAUAAAAAAGGACCAAACAGAAAACCUGCAACUGAAGAAUUCAAUAAAUAAAAUGAAAAAUACAAUUAAGAGUUUUAACAAUAUAAUAGAUCAAGCAGAAGAAAGAAUUUCUGAACUUGAAGACAAGUCUUUUGAAAUAACAGUUAGAUUUUUAAAAAAAAGAAUAUAAAAGAAUGAAUAAAUUCUAUGUGACAUUUAAGAUAAUAUAUAAUGACUAAAUAUCUAAAUUCAGGAAGUUCCAGAAGGAGAAAGAAGGGCAAAGACAUAGAAAACGUAUUUAAUAAAAUAAUAGCUGAAAACUUUUCGAGAGUCGCAAGAGAUGUAAAUAUCUAGACAUAGGAAUCUCAGAGAUACCUGAAUAGAUUCAAACCAAAAAUGUAUUCUCCAACACAUAUUUUAGUAAAACUGCCAAGUCAAAGAAAAAGAGAAUAUUAAAAACAGCAGGAAAAAAGCAUCAAGUCACAUAUAAGGUAAUCCCCAUCAGACUAAUGGCACAUUUCUCAACAGCAGCCUUAUAGACCAGGAGAAAGUGGAAUGAUACAUUCAAAGUACUGAAGAAAAACCCUAUCAGAUAAGAAUAUUAUACCCAACAAAGCUAUCCUUCAAAAAAUGAGGAAGAAAUAAACUAUUUUCCAGACAAGCAAAAGCUAGGAAUUCAUCACCACUAGACAGGCCCUACAGAAAUGAAUAAAAGAGUCCCACAUCUAGAAAUCAAAGGAUGAUGUCUAACAUCAUGAAAACACAAAAUUAUAUAACUUACUGUCAAAUAUAUACUAAAAUGAGAAAGAGAAAGAAGUUAAAUAUUACCACUACAGAAAACCACCAAACUGCAAUGAUAAUAAGAGACUACAAAAGGAGCAAAGGAUAUACAAAACAACCAGAAAACAAGAAAAUAACAGGAAUAAGUUCUCAUCUAUUAAUAUAAUAUUGAAUGUCAACAGAUUAAACUCCACACUUAAAAGGUUUAUUAAUGGAAACAAAAAAAAACAUAACUCAACUAUAUGCUACCUAAAAGCAACUCACUUGGCCUGUAAAGACACUUAUAGACUGAAGGUAAAGGGAUGGAAAAAGAUAUUCUACACAAAUGGAAACCAUACGUGAGCAAGAGUAGCUAUAUUUAUGUCAGUUAAAACACACUUUAAGUCAAAAACUGUAAAAAGCUACAAAGAAGGUCAUUAUAUAGGGAUAACUGAAUCAAUCCAACAAAAGGAUGUAACAAUUUUAAAUAUAUGUGUACUCAUCACCAGAACACCCAGAUAUAUAAAGUAAUCAUUAGAGAUAGACUUCACUAUAGUAAGUGCUGGGGACUUAAGAACCCCUCACUCAGCAUUGGACAAAACAUCUGGACAAAAAAUCACAAAAAAAAUUGAAUUUAAGCUGCUCUUUAGACCAAAUGAACCUAAUGGACAUUUACAGAACAUUUCAUUCAAUAACUAUGGAAUAAACUUUCUUCUCAUCAGCACAUGGAACAUUCUCCAGGACAGACCAUUUGCUAGGCUACAAAACAAGUCUCAGCAAUUUUUUUUAAAUCAAGAUUAUAUCAAUAAUUUCUUGAGACCAAAAUAAAACUAGAAAUCAAUAACGGGGAAAAUUAGAAUCGUAAAAAUGUAUGAAAAUUAAACAAGAUGCUUCUGACAAGUAUUGGGUCAAUGAACAAAUUAAGCAGAAAACCAAAAAGUUCCUUGAAACAAGUGAAGAUGGAAACACAACACACUAAAACCUGUGGGAUACAGCAAAAGCAUUGCUAAGAGUGAAGUUUAUAGCAACACCUACAAUGAAAAAGUAGAAAGAAGACUUGAAAUAAACAACUUAACAAUGCAGCUUGAAGAACCAGUAACAAGAAUGAACCAAGCCCCAAAUGCAUAGUAGGAAAGAUAUAUGAUCAGAACAGAUAUAGACAAAAUGGGGACUAAGAAAUUACAAAGGAUUAAAAAAGUAAAGAUUUGGUGUUUUAAAUAGAUAAAAUCACCACGCUGGCUAAACUGACCAAGAAAAAAGAAAGAAGUGCCAAAUAUAUCAAAUCAGAUAUGAAAAAGGAGACAUUAUAACUGAAGCUAAAGAAAUGUAAAGGAUCAGUAGAGACUAUCAUGGAAAACUUAUACACUAACAAAUUGUAAAACCUAGAGGAAAUUGAUAAAUUAUUGAACACAUAUAAUCUAAAAAAAUUGAAUGAAGAAUAAAUAGAAAACAUAAACAGACCGAAAAUGAGUAACAAUUGAAUCAGUAAUAGAAAGUCUCCUCUCUCCUCCCCACAAAAGCCCAGAAAUCAUAUUGCUUUACUGUGUAUUCCAUGUAUCAUACUUAUAAGAAUUAAUACCAAUUCUUCUCAAACGAAGCAAAAAUUCUUCCUAAUUCAUUCUAUGGGGCUAGUAUUACCCUGAUAGCAAAUCCAGACAAGGACACAACAACAACCACAAAAAGAAAAACUACCGGCCAAUUUUAGCGAUUAACAUAGAUACAAAAAUCCUAAACAAAAUAUUAGCAAACCAAAUUCAACAACGCAUUAAAAAGAUCAUUCACCAUGAUCAAGUGGUAUUCAUCCCAAGGAUGCAAGGAUGGUCUAGCAUACACAAAUCAGUAAACAAAUUAUUAAAAUUGUAAUAAGAAAUUAUAAAUAAUAAAACCAAAUGCUGUUUUUUGGGAAAAAAAAACAAAACAAUGAAAUUGAUAUUUCUUAACCAAAUACAAAAUUAGUACUUGCAGCUAAUAUGGCAAAAAGUGAACUAGUAUUUUAAAUUUUCAAGAAGUUUUCAUAAAUCAAUUAAAAAAUACAAAACCAUAAUGUAAAAAAGGCCCUAAAAUGUGAAUAUUUCACAAAAGUUAAAAAAAGAAACAAAUGGCCAAUGAAUAUAAAAAUCAAUUAAUCACAAAAUUAUUAUUGAAGCAAGAGAAUCAAAAUGAGGAAAUAUUAGCCCACCCUACCAACAAAGGUAAGGGUUAUGGAAGACCGUUGCCCCUAUUUCCUCCUUUUGCUGAGACUACAAAAUAGCUGAGCACUUUUAGAGGAUAUUUGGUAAAAUCAUUUCUGUUGGGAUAAAGGGGGCAGGAGAAAAUGUCUUUCUCUUAGCAUAAAGAUUCAAAAAUAAAAAAUUAAAAAAAUACAGAACAAUUUAUAUUUUAAUUUUCCUAAAUGUGAAUACAUUUAUACUUUGACAUAGAAAAUCCACUCAUAAAAAUGUAUGUAAUUAUGAUAUAUUUGCAUAAGUACACAAACAUGUAUGGAUAAGGCUCCUAUUUCAGCAUUGAGCAUAGAAAUAAUCAUAAUGUUCAUCAAAAAUCACACUGCCAAAUAACCAAUAAUAUAAUCAUAUAAAACCCUAUACAGCAUUUAAACGGGGAAAUAGAAUCUCACACUCGUCAAGAUGACUAACAUAAAAAAAAGUAGAAAAUAAUAAUUGUUGAUGAGGUUGUGGAAAAAUUGGAGCCCUUUGACACUAUUAAUAAGAAUAUAAAACGGUGCAGCUGUAAUGAAAAACAGUAUUGCAGUUCCUCAAAAAAUUAAAAAUCAUAAUCAUCAUAUGAUCCAGCAAGUUUCUCUGGGUGUAUGCCCAAAUAAUGAAAAGCAGGGUCUCAAAAAGAUAUUUAUUCAUUCAUGUUCACAGAAUCAUUAUUCACAAUAGCCAAAAGGUAAAAACAACCCCAGGGUUCAUUGAUGGAUAAUUGAGAAAACAAAAUGUGCUAUAUAUCUAUAAUGGAAUGUCAUUUGGCCUCAAAAAGGAAGUAAAUUCUGACACAAGUACAAUAUAGAUGAACAUCAAAAACAUUAUACUGUAGUGAAAUAAAUAAACCAGUCACAAAAGACAACUACUGUUUGAUUCAUCUGGGUAUCUAGGGUGUUCAAAUUCACAGAAACAGAAAGUAGAAUUGUGGUUUCCACGAGCUGGAGGGGGUUUAAAAUGGGGAGUAACUAUUUAAUGGAUAUUAACAUUCAGUAUUGCAAUUUGAAAAAGUUCUGGGAUCCGUUGCUCAAUGUGAAUAUAUUUAAUAAUACUAAAUGUACACUUAAAAAUAGUUAAGAUGAUAAAUUUUAUGUUAUAUGUGUUUUAUACAGUUUAACAAAAAAAGGAGGUAAAUUUAUAUGGAAAAUAAUUUUAAAAUGUGUUUAAAUAAAUGUUAAGUAAAAAAGUAAGUAUAAUAACAGUGUUUCAUUGUAAUAUAAUUUGUGGAUACAGAAUGUGUUUGUGUGUGUAUGUAUGUAUUAAUUCAGUUAAUUAUGGGAAUGAAAAGAUUAGCUUUUGGUUGAGAGAAUUUUAUCCUUUUUGCUAUUUUAAAUCAAGAUAAUGCACUAUAUUUUAAUUAAAAUGAAAUAAAACACUAAAAGGAAUAAGUUUGACCAUAUUUAAUGAAUUAUGACUGAGAUAAAUUAAUAAAAUUU